CAAGCCGAUGAUCUGUAGCUGGUUUGAGAGGAUGAUCAGCCACACUGGGACUGAGACACGGCCCAGACUCCUACGGGAGGCAGCAGUGGGGAAUAUUGGACAAUGGGGGAAACCCUGAUCCAGCAAUGCUGCGUGAAUGAAGAAGGCCUUAGGGUUGUAAAAUUCUUUUGUUCGUGAAGAUAAUGACGGUAGCGGACGAAUAAGCCCUGGCUAACUCUGUGCCAGCAGCCGCGGUAAUACAGAGAGGGCAAGCGUUGUCCGGAAUGACUGGGCGUAAAGCGCGCGCAGGCGGUUUUUUAAGUUGGAUGUGAAAUCCCCGGGCUCAACCUGGGAACUGCAUUCGAUACUGGGAAACUAGAGGCCGAGAGAGGAAAGCGGAAUGACGAGUGUAGAGGUGAAAUUCGUAGAUACUCGUCGGAACACCAGAGGCGAAGGCGGCUUUCUGGCUCGG
RNAcentral lists this ribosomal RNA (451 nucleotides) under uncultured Alphaproteobacteria bacterium. Its description in RNAcentral is "bacterial SSU rRNA". It matches the Rfam family "Bacterial small subunit ribosomal RNA", at positions 269 to 737 of the family's 1533-position model. The record is from RNAcentral. Lineage: Bacteria; Pseudomonadati; Pseudomonadota; Alphaproteobacteria.